Molecule: non-coding RNA, 74 nt
Organism: Aedes albopictus (Asian tiger mosquito)
Lineage: Eukaryota; Metazoa; Arthropoda; Insecta; Diptera; Culicidae
Source: Rfam
UGUUCUGUGGCUUAGUAGGUUUAAGGGCCGGUCUAGCGAAUGUGAAGUCGUGGGUUCGAAUCCCACCAGAAUGU